GAGCAUGGAUAGCUUUCUUCCUCCGCCCAGCCGCCACAGUGAUUGUCGUCAAGUCUGCCACAGGAGGAUAUUUUGUUCUGGGUUAACCUGCUUUUCUACUUCGCAGGUUGUUUAUCAGUAUUUGUGUAAUUUUAUUUACUCCUAGAAUUUCCGCAUGUGUUAGCAGUGAUUAUUUGAAUUUGGUCUGUAAUAUUAUUAUCAUGUUGGACCUGUAAACUUAAUACUCUAUGUCUGUUUGAUGGAUUGGAUGAGGGAGCUGAGCUCCCAUUUCUUUUA
This is a long non-coding RNA of Hevea brasiliensis (rubber tree), 276 nucleotides long. RefSeq lists it as uncharacterized. The record is from RefSeq and is a predicted model, not a curated record. The transcript is spliced from 2 exons. NCBI's taxonomy places the organism in Eukaryota, Viridiplantae, Streptophyta, Magnoliopsida, Malpighiales, Euphorbiaceae.